CUCAGUAACGGCGAGUGAAGCGGCAAAAGCUCAACUUUGAACUCCCCCCGGGGACCUGUACUCUGAAAUCUGUGUCUUGGAGACGACCGUGUCUAUGUUCCUUGGAACAGGACGUCACAGAGGGUGAGAAUCCCGUGCGGCACGGCCACCGUCCUCCUAUAAGACACUCUCGACGAGUCGAGUCUGCUGGGAAUGCAGCUCAAAGUGGGUGGUAAACUUCCAUCUAAAGCUAAAUACAGGCGAGAGACCGAUAGCGAACAAGUACAGUGAUGGAAAGAUGAAAAGCACUUUUGAAAAGAGAGUGAAACAGUACGUGAAAUUGUUGAAAGGGAAGGGCAUGCCGUCAGAUUGUCAGUGUGGGUAAGAAGCGGGGUACAAAGACUGCGGAACGUGGCCUUUCGGGUGUUAUAGCCGCCA
RNAcentral lists this ribosomal RNA (417 nucleotides) under [Candida] sp. PBb3. RNAcentral's name for it is "eukaryotic LSU rRNA". It matches the Rfam family "Eukaryotic large subunit ribosomal RNA", at positions 79 to 488 of the family's 3401-position model. Lineage: Eukaryota; Fungi; Ascomycota; Saccharomycetes; Saccharomycetales. The record is from RNAcentral.